Non-coding RNA from Chlorocebus sabaeus (green monkey), 184 nucleotides. The record is from RefSeq and is a predicted model, not a curated record. NCBI's taxonomy places the organism in Eukaryota, Metazoa, Chordata, Mammalia, Primates, Cercopithecidae.
AAAGACUUGACGCUGAGAGUAUAAGUGACGAGGAGACUCAUCCAGGUUCUUCUGAGGACAACCUGGUUUAGUGAGACCACCACCAAGUGAAGAUGAUGAUGGCGAGGAUGAUGAUGAUGAUGAUGUCCAGAUUUUACCAUCACGUGUCCAGGCUUGGCCUGAGGACCGCUUGUUUUUAAGAUGC